This 253-nucleotide ribosomal RNA is filed under the name uncultured bacterium. RNAcentral describes it as "partial 16S ribosomal RNA". It matches the Rfam family "Bacterial small subunit ribosomal RNA", at positions 524 to 776 of the family's 1533-position model. The record is from RNAcentral.
UACGAAGGGGGCUAGCGUUGCUCGGAAUCACUGGGCAUAAAGCGCACGUAGGCGGAUUGCUAAGUCAGGGGUGAAAUCCUGGAGCUCAACUCCAGAACUGCCUUUGAUACUGGCGGUCUCGAGUCCGGGAGAGGUGAGUGGAACUGCGAGUGUAGAGGUGAAAUUCGUAGAUAUUCGCAAGAACACCAGUGGCGAAGGCGGCUCACUGGCCCGGUACUGACGCUGAGGUGCGAAAGCGUGGGGAGCAAACAGG